AGUGUGGUGGCCGAGCGGUUAAGGCGUUGGACUUAAGUUCCAAUGGACAUUAGUCCUCUAGGGUUCAAAUCCCAUCCGCACUA
This 83-nucleotide transfer RNA is filed under the name Saccoglossus kowalevskii. RNAcentral's name for it is "tRNA-Leu". It matches the Rfam family "tRNA". Rfam says of the family: Transfer RNA (tRNA) molecules are approximately 80 nucleotides in length. Their secondary structure includes four short double-helical elements and three loops (D, anti-codon, and T loops). Further hydrogen bonds mediate the characteristic L-shaped molecular structure. tRNAs have two regions of fundamental functional importance: the anti-codon, which is responsible for specific mRNA codon recognition, and the 3' end, to which the tRNAs corresponding amino acid is attached (by aminoacyl-tRNA synthetases). tRNAs cope with the degeneracy of the genetic code in two manners: having more than one tRNA (with a specific anti-codon) for a particular amino acid; and 'wobble' base-pairing, i.e. permitting non-standard base-pairing at the 3rd anti-codon position. Lineage: Eukaryota; Metazoa; Hemichordata; Enteropneusta; Harrimaniidae. The record is from RNAcentral.